GUCUACAGCCAUUCCACCCUGAAUGUGCCUGAUCUCGGAAGCAAAGCAGGGUCAGGCCUGGUUAGUACUUGGAUGGGUGACCACCUGGGAAUACUGGUUGCUGUAGGCU
Molecule: ribosomal RNA, 109 nt
Filed under: Moschus moschiferus (Siberian musk deer)
Lineage: Eukaryota; Metazoa; Chordata; Mammalia; Artiodactyla; Moschidae
Source: RNAcentral